This 765-nucleotide ribosomal RNA is filed under the name Ralstonia insidiosa. Its description in RNAcentral is "bacterial SSU rRNA". It matches the Rfam family "Bacterial small subunit ribosomal RNA", at positions 1 to 760 of the family's 1533-position model. The record is from RNAcentral. Lineage: Bacteria; Pseudomonadati; Pseudomonadota; Betaproteobacteria; Burkholderiales; Burkholderiaceae.
UAGAGUUUUGAUCAUGGCUCAGAUUGAACGCUGGCGGCAUGCCUUACACAUGCAAGUCGAACGGCAGCAUGAUCUAGCUUGCUAGAUUGAUGGCGAGUGGCGAACGGGUGAGUAAUACAUCGGAACGUGCCCUGUAGUGGGGGAUAACUAGUCGAAAGAUUAGCUAAUACCGCAUACGACCUGAGGGUGAAAGUGGGGGACCGCAAGGCCUCAUGCUAUAGGAGCGGCCGAUGUCUGAUUAGCUAGUUGGUGAGGUAAAGGCUCACCAAGGCGACGAUCAGUAGCUGGUCUGAGAGGACGAUCAGCCACACUGGGACUGAGACACGGCCCAGACUCCUACGGGAGGCAGCAGUGGGGAAUUUUGGACAAUGGGGGCAACCCUGAUCCAGCAAUGCCGCGUGUGUGAAGAAGGCCUUCGGGUUGUAAAGCACUUUUGUCCGGAAAGAAAUCGCACUUACUAAUAUUAGGUGUGGAUGACGGUACCGGAAGAAUAAGGACCGGCUAACUACGUGCCAGCAGCCGCGGUAAUACGUAGGGUCCAAGCGUUAAUCGGAAUUACUGGGCGUAAAGCGUGCGCAGGCGGUUGUGCAAGACCGAUGUGAAAUCCCCGGGCUUAACCUGGGAAUUGCAUUGGUGACUGCACGGCUAGAGUGUGUCAGAGGGGGGUAGAAUUCCACGUGUAGCAGUGAAAUGCGUAGAGAUGUGGAGGAAUACCGAUGGCGAAGGCAGCCCCCUGGGAUAACACUGACGCUCAUGCACGAAAGC